Molecule: ribosomal RNA, 465 nt
Filed under: uncultured bacterium
Lineage: Bacteria
Description: partial 16S ribosomal RNA
Rfam family: Bacterial small subunit ribosomal RNA
Source: RNAcentral
CCUACGGGAGGCAGCAGUAGGGAAUCUUCCACAAUGGGCGAAAGCCUGAUGGAGCAACGCCGCGUGGGUGAAGAAGGUAUUCGGAUCGUAAAACCCUGUUGUUAGAGAAGAAAGUGCGUGAGAGUAACUGUUCACGUUUCGACGGUAUCUAACCAGAAAGCCACGGCUAACUACGUGGCAGCAGCCGCGGUAAUACGUAGGUGGGAAGCGUUAUCCGGAUUGAUUGGGCGUAAAGGGAGCGCAGGCGGUCUUUUAAGGCUGAUGUGAAAGCCUUCGGCCUAACCGGAGUAGUGCAUUGGAAACUGGGAGACUUGAGUUCAGAAGAGGAGAGUGGAACUCGAUGUGUAGCGGUGAAAUGCGUAGAUAUAUGGAAGAACACCAGUGGCGAAGGCGGCUCUCUGGUCUGUAACUGACGCUGAGGUUCGAAAGCGUGGGUAGCAAACAGGAUUAGAUACCCUUGUAGUC